UACGAAGGGGGCUAGCGUUGCUCGGAAUCACUGGGCGUAAAGGGUGCGUAGGCGGGUCUUUAAGUCAGGGGUGAAAUCCUGGAGCUCAACUCCAGAACUGCCUUUGAUACUGAGGAUCUUGAGUCCAGGAGAGGUGAGUGGAACUGCGAGUGUAGAGGUGAAAUUCGUAGAUAUUCGCAAGAACACCAGUGGCGAAGGCGGCUCACUGGCCCGGUACUGACGCUGAGGCACGAAAGCGUGGGGAGCAAACAGG
RNAcentral lists this ribosomal RNA (253 nucleotides) under uncultured bacterium. Its description in RNAcentral is "partial 16S ribosomal RNA". It matches the Rfam family "Bacterial small subunit ribosomal RNA", at positions 524 to 776 of the family's 1533-position model. The record is from RNAcentral.